RNAcentral lists this transfer RNA (65 nucleotides) under Gilpinia sp. 3 GYN-2022c. RNAcentral describes it as "tRNA-Val". The record is from RNAcentral. Lineage: Eukaryota; Metazoa; Arthropoda; Insecta; Hymenoptera; Diprionidae.
AAAUUAUUAUGAUAAAAUUUUUUAUUUACAAUAAAUAAGUUAGUUGUUUAAUUCAACUUAAUUUG